Molecule: ribosomal RNA, 444 nt
Filed under: Triticum aestivum (bread wheat)
Lineage: Eukaryota; Viridiplantae; Streptophyta; Magnoliopsida; Poales; Poaceae
Description: partial small subunit ribosomal RNA
Source: RNAcentral
AUGCUGCAGAAGCUGGCCUCCAGCCCGGAGCUGCUCGAGGCGGGCUCCAUGGACCUGAGAAACAUGGUCCCCGUGCGCGACUUCCGGCCGCCAAAGUUCACCGUGUCGUACAAGACGGAGGCGACGGGGCUGCUGCAGGGCCUCGGGCUGCGCCUGCCGUUCGACGGCGACGCCACCGACUUCUCGGAGAUGCUGGAGGAAUCCACAGGGUCCCUCGUCGUGCCAAACGUCUACCACCAGUCCCUGGUGGAGGUGAACGAGGAAGGGACCGAAGCGGCUGCGACGACCGCGGUAACCAGUAUGACUUUUACCUGUCCCGCGGUGAUGAGCAGGCCGGUCAAAUACGUGGACUUCGUCGCCGACCACCCUUUCAUGUUCUUGAUCAAGGAGGAGCUCACCGGCGUCGUGGUGUUCGCCGGGCAAGUUGUGGAUCCUUCGUCGUGA